Molecule: ribosomal RNA, 720 nt
Filed under: uncultured bacterium
Lineage: Bacteria
Description: partial 16S ribosomal RNA
Rfam family: Bacterial small subunit ribosomal RNA
Source: RNAcentral
GACCCUCGGGUCGUAAACUUCUGUCRGAGGGGACGAAAGCMUUCGGAGCGAAUAACUUCRGGUGUUGACGGUACCCUACGAGGAAGCCCCGGCUAACUCCGUGCCAGCAGCCGCGGUAAUACGGGGGGGGCAAGCGUUGUUCGGAAUUACUGGGCGUAAAGGGCGCGUAGGCUGUCCCGCAAGUCCUUCGUGAAAUCCCACASYUCAACUGUGGAAUUGCGAGGGAAACUGCAGGACUUGAGUCCGGGAGAGGAGAGUGGAAUUCCCAGKGUASCGGUGAAAUGCGUARAUAUUGRGAGGAACACCGGUGGCRAAGGCGGCUCUCUGGACCGGUACUGACSCUGAGGSGCGAAAGCUAGGGGAGCAAACGGGAUUAGAUACCCCGGUAGUCCUAGCCCUAAACRAUGAGCACUUGGUGUGGCGGGWAUCGACCCCUGCCGUGCCGAAGCUAACGCAUUAAGUGCUCCGCCUGGGGAGUACSGKCGCAAGGCUGAAACUCAAARGAAUUGACGGGGGCCCGCACAAGCGGKGGAGCAUGUGGUUCAAUUCGACGCAACGCRAAGAACCUUACCUGGGUUUGAACUGCUAGGGACCGGUGCAGAGAUGUACCUUUCCUUCGGGACCCUAGUAGAGGUGCUGCAUGGCUGUCGUCAGCUCGUGUCGUGAGAUGUUGRGUUAMGUCCCGCAACGAGCGCAACCCUUGCCCUCUGUUGCUACCRK